AUGGCGCCUCUGAAGAAACUCUUUCGUAGCUCGCUUCUCUUGCUAGUAUGCGCAGCCAAGGCGACCAACCCGGAAACGGAAGCACUUCUCCGAUGGAAGUCCACUUUGGUUGGCGCCAACUCGCUGUCCUCAUGGUCGACUGCGAAUUCCACUUGCUCUUGGUUUGGUGUCACCUGUGAUGCUGCCGGGCAUGUUACGGAGCUCAGCCUUCCCAACGCUAGCCUCAACGAUACGCUUGAUUACUUGUAUUUGGCAGCGUUCUGGUGUUGGGCUAAGUCCCUCCACAUGGAGGUGUGUUGGCAGCCCAACAUCAGUCCACAAGUCCAGUAUAUAUGA
This 336-nucleotide ribosomal RNA is filed under the name Triticum aestivum (bread wheat). Its description in RNAcentral is "partial small subunit ribosomal RNA". The record is from RNAcentral. Lineage: Eukaryota; Viridiplantae; Streptophyta; Magnoliopsida; Poales; Poaceae.